UGGGGAUGGGCUCGCGGCCUAUCAGCUUGUUGGGUGGGGUGAUGGCCUGCCAAGGUCUUUGGACGGGUAGCCGGCCUGAGAGGGUGGGCGGUCACACGUGGGACUGAGACGACCGGCCCAGACCUCCGUACGGGAGGCAGCAGGUGGGGAAUAUUGCACAAUGGGCGCAAGCCUGAUGCAGCGACGCCGCGUGAGGGAUGGAGGCCUUCGGGUUGUGAACCUCUUUCGCCAGUGAAGAAGGUCCUGCUCUUUGUGGUGGGGUUGACGGUAGCUGGGUUAAUGAAGCGCCGGCUAACUAC
Molecule: ribosomal RNA, 299 nt
Filed under: uncultured bacterium
Lineage: Bacteria
Description: partial 16S ribosomal RNA
Rfam family: Bacterial small subunit ribosomal RNA
Source: RNAcentral